Molecule: ribosomal RNA, 469 nt
Filed under: uncultured Desulfobulbus sp.
Lineage: Bacteria; Pseudomonadati; Thermodesulfobacteriota; Desulfobulbia; Desulfobulbales; Desulfobulbaceae
Description: bacterial SSU rRNA
Rfam family: Bacterial small subunit ribosomal RNA
Source: RNAcentral
GCACAAGCGGUGGAGCACGUGGUUUAAUUCGAUGACAAACCGAAGAACCUUACGUGGGUUUGACAUGUACGUGGUACGGAUAUGAAAGUUGAAGGACUCCGCUUUCGGGUGGAGAGCGUACACAGGUGCUGCAUGGCUGUCGUCAGCUCGUGUCGUGAGAUGUUGGGUUAAGUCCCGCAACGAGCGCAACCCUUGCCUUUAGUUGCCAGCAGUUCGGCUGGGCACUCUAAAGGGACUGCCGGUGUUAAACCGGAGGAAGGUGGGGAUGACGUCAAGUCCUCAUGGCCUUUAUGACCAGGGCUACACACGUACUACAAUGGCCGAUACAAAGGGCAGCGACACUGCGAGGUGAAGCCAAUCCCGUAAAAUCGGUCUCAGUCCGGAUUGGAGUCUGCAACUCGACUCCAUGAAGUUGGAAUCGCUAGUAAUCGUGGAUCAGCAUGCCACGGUGAAUACGUUCCCGGGCCUU